UCAGAGAUGGCAGAGCUGCCCUCUGACUCAGAGCCCGUCCAUCCUCGGAGCUGGGAGUUUUCCAGACGAAGGUCUCACGGCUGGUUUUCUGAAUGACUUCAGGUCAAGUUUACAGACCAAAAUUUCCUGAGUGAUUAUGACAGCUCACAUCAAAGGUGGAAAACCUGUGACAAAACCUGGAGAAAGGAAAGGCUCCACAAUAAGUGGUGAUGAGAGAAACACUUUUCCUGACUUUCAGCUCCAAG
This 245-nucleotide long non-coding RNA is filed under the name Microcebus murinus (gray mouse lemur). RNAcentral describes it as "lncRNA (ENSMICG00000048734.1)". The record is from RNAcentral. Lineage: Eukaryota; Metazoa; Chordata; Mammalia; Primates; Cheirogaleidae.